AAUAGCCCCCCGCCUCAAAGGACAGAGGAGCUGAGUGGAUUCACUUCAUUUUAAAUGGAAAUAACCCCACAACUGGAAAACUCUGACGUGUGUGAAAACUACUGCAGGCUGCUUUCCUGUGGCAGUACAAAGAAGGUUCAAUGAAGAUCAAGGAUUGAUUGAUGCUCACUUCAAACUUGGAAGCUGCCAACAUACAACUACAAGACCGACCCUGCAGACACCACCACAUCUUUGACAAAGUUGACAAACAUGUUUAAUAUUAUUUUCAGGCUCAGUGGCAGUCAGUCCUGUCUCUCGGACAGUCUUAAGUGAUGUGGAGAUGCUCAGCCAUCACUACUGAGGCCUUCAACAGUGUAAUCCUGUCAUUCUGCAUAAAAGCAUGGUAGGUGCAACUACUGACAAUAUUCAAAGAAACAGAGAACAUGACCAUGUUCAAAUAAAACAGGAAAAAUACUUUUAGUGCUCAAAAUAAUUCACAUGCCUACACUAAAAUAAACAUACUAAUAAAUGUUUC
This 514-nucleotide long non-coding RNA is filed under the name Sparus aurata (gilthead seabream). Its description in RNAcentral is "lncRNA (ENSSAUG00010021772.1)". Lineage: Eukaryota; Metazoa; Chordata; Actinopteri; Spariformes; Sparidae. The record is from RNAcentral.